This is a long non-coding RNA of Centrocercus urophasianus (Greater sage-grouse), 1857 nucleotides long. RefSeq lists it as uncharacterized. The transcript has 3 exons. NCBI's taxonomy places the organism in Eukaryota, Metazoa, Chordata, Aves, Galliformes, Phasianidae. The record is from RefSeq and is a predicted model, not a curated record.
GAGGAAGCCGUGCGGGCGUUUACUGCCGGUGGGCGUUCGGCUCGUCGGCCCCGGGCUGGGAGUCGUGGCCUCGAGGGCAAAAUCACGCGUUCCUCUAGCCUUGGCUCUUGUGCCGUUGCUCCCGCUGUGACUGCAGGUGAGAGAAUAAGAGCAGAUCGAGAUCUGACCAGGGUAUGGAGUGCAACAUGAGCUCUCUGUGCUUCUCUGCUGUGUUUACUGAAGGUCACCUUCCUCCUUGAUGUACAAGCCCAAGACAACAACUCUGCAUUCAGUGUGGCCCAGGUAUUCCGAAGGUUGGAUACCCGUGCAGUCAUCAAGCUCUUUUGGUGGAGGUUUUACUCGACGAUUGCAAUUUAUCAUUUUCAAUCCAGACAAGUACUGACUUCUGAGAAUCAGAAGUAUGUCCUCCUUCUCGUGCCUGCAGUUUCUCUAUAGACAAGCAGAAAAAUUGGGACAUGCUGCAGUCAGUCUGACAGCUGCCGAAAAUGCGAGUGAUUCAUAAAUAUGUUCCUUCUGUGUGAUGAUUGUUGGUAAGGGUGUAGGACUAAUCUGGAGCCUCUCGUCACUAGCCUAGAAAUAGCUGUUUGGUUUAUAAAGGCAAGACCCGCAAAAAGCAGACCAAGAGCAAAAAACUGCAUGUGAAGCAGGAACAGCAAAUUUUAGUGAAAUAGCUUUGGAGGGAGAGCUGGGAGAACACCUUUGUUGACAUUCCUAAGAAAACGAUUUAAAUGAGAUUUUCAGGACAUCAUGGCUCUUAUUCUGCUCGAUGCUGAAUGGAUAAUUCUCACCACAGCAGCACUGCAUUAUUCCUUUUCAUAUGCUCAGUUUUGAGCUCUGCUGUGAGUGAAAAUGGACAACAUAUAAAUGUGGAAUUGCACAGACCACCAGGCAUUUCUGACACAAAUACAUUCAUUACUGAAUAGCUUUAUUCUUGUGCAGUCAUCCUGCCUUUUUACUGCAAAUCCACUGUGCCAAUUCAGAGUUCAUAGAAAAUAUUUCACAUCCAACGUGACUCCAGAUUACAUGUGCUAUCUUACAGCAGAGGGCAGCUCCUUUCAUGUUCCAGCCUCCUUAAACUAGUUUAGGUGACAGUUACAGACGGGAAGCCUUGACCUAUGAAAUAUUUUUGUUAUACUUUAAUGCAUUACUGUUAUACUGUGACUAAGUGAUAAGAUUUUCUCUGGAAAAGAUACAGGUUUGCCCAGGUUUAUGCAGAGCAGUUCCAAUGGACUUUAACUUUCACACCUAGCAGUCAACACUGCUGCAGGUAGUGCUGUCGUGAGAGGGAAAUUGGGCCCUAAGAAACUUAUUAUGGAAGUAUUACUUGAGCUGAUCUUUCAGUUUGCUUUGAGCCCUGUUUGAAGGAAGGGACUUGCUGCUAAAAUCUCAUAGAACUUCCUACAUAUUUCUAAAGUUACAGGGGAAAUAAAACGCUGCAGUCAGGUACAUCAGAAUUAGUGAACUGGAUUUGAGCAGCAUCCACCUCUCACAGCCAGUAUCAGCUGCUUUGAGGAUGAUGAAUGUCAGCCCUGCAGCUAAGAAAUUUGUGAGUUAACUAGCACAGUCCUUUGCUCAUCCCCCACAGACAAAACCGGUGUGUUCUGCUGCAGAAAUGCUUGUUUUUCCUUGAGAAAGUCUACCAUGUUGUCUAUUUCAGCUCCUUGUACUGCUUACUCAUUUUCCAGUUUAGAACUGUCUGUGUUUGAUAUUCAUUGUUUUUGCCUUGAGAGAAAACAUACGGAAAAUACAUCCAGUGCUCAGAGGCUCUUGUUUCAAGGGUUCUUUGUCAGUUCUUCUUGUUAGGAAAGCAGGAAUGUCACCCUCUGUGGGGUGUUUUGUGCUUUGCGUGUAUGCUUU